CUGAUGAUGAAGAGAGAGGCAGUGGCAGAGGGGGGGGCACCUUUUAUUUCUAUUUUUAAAGGGACAGGACACUCAUUUCACCCCACUUCAACCUUGAAUUGAGGGGGGGUGGGGGGAAAAGGCGACUGAGUUCCUUCCCCCACCCUCCAGCCCCGAGCCCUAAGAAGGGGGAUUGAGCCAGAGAGAGAAGAAGGAGUUUCUUCUUCUUCGAAAACCCCCAUCCACGACUCCUACCCCCUCACCCCUCCACUCGCCUCCCUCUCGAGCCCCCUCCACCCCCCUCCUCUUUGGCCGUGAGAGGAGGAGAGAAAGACCAAAAGCCUCUUAGCAACACAGACCCUCCUCUGCUGCUGCUGCUGCUGCUGUUACUGCUGCUGCUGCUGCUGCUACUGCUGCUGCUACUGCUGCUGCUACUGCUGCUGCUUGGCCCUGGCUGGAGACAUCUCACUACACCCAGCUCGCCUCCUCCUCCUGCGCCUCCUCCUCCACUCCCCCCCUUUAUUACCCUUUGUGUCAUCCUCCACAGCUCCAGGGAAGGCACUCCAAAGUGGGGGGCAGGAAAGACAGUUAACAGCUUUCCAGUUUUCUGAAGAUUUACUCCUAGUCAUCAUUGGGACCCCCAUGAAGUCAGCCAGAAAACCUAUGUCCAACCUUUGUAUCUUUGUAAAGCUAUGUGGAUUUUGAAUGUAUGUUACAAAACAAAUUAUGUUUAGCUAUUCAUUCCGUGUCUGUUGAUGUCUAUCAGGCAUUGUGUUAGGCUUUUGAAAACGAGGAUCAUCCUUACAGUUUGAUGUGAAAAGAUAUCAUAAUUGUAUUCUUCAAGUGUAUUUGUCAUAUUUUUACCUUGGCGUUCUACAUGAAUAAAUGUUAUAUUAACUAAGUGGAUAUUGUUAGGUGUGAAAAUAUGUGUUUAAAUAGGUUAAUUGUGUUAAAAUAGAAAAAUAUUAAAAUUUUUUUCAAUUUACUGCUAUAUUCUAAAAAGUUUAUUCUUUGUGCACUUCAUUCAUUUUAGACAAUGAUAAGGCCCAUGUGACUACCAUUGCUCAAUUUUUAUUACAAGACAAAACUCUUAAAUUCGAAGAUGAUCAAUACCAGUUAUUACAUUACGUCAUUACUUUUUUUCCAAAACAAGAAAUGCAUAUUCUCCACACAUGAACUUUCUUCUCAGAACUAAAUUUUAUAUUUCAUUUACCAGGUUGUCAUAACCUGAUUAUUUGGAGGAUAUUAUAUAGUUUCAUUUGGACUUUUAAAAUAUUUUCACAUUUCAUGCAAAUAUAACAAUUAUUAAAUUAUUGUGUUGUAAUUAGUGUGCAGUACGUAGAAGCUUUGGGAUAUGUGAAAUACUUUAGAAAUAUUAUUCCAAGAUCCUUACAAAGAACUUCCCAGUAUUAGUUCUAAACUUAUUGCUUGAUACUGUUUUUAUAACUUUGGUAUUUAACUUGGAAGUUUCUUCAGUAGAUGGGUAUUCGAAAGCAUCAUGUCAUUCUUUGUCAUAGUUUUUACAAGUAAUAGAACCAUUUAUUAAGAGAAUGAAGUACUAAUCUGAGUUUGUCUUCCUUAAAGUCAUGUAGGGUACUAUUGAUGCAUAGUUUUUGAAAAGAUAGGAAUGUCCAUGCCAGUAUGGUGUACUGGAAAGAAAAACAGAUUUGUAAAUGAUAAAUUCUGAUCUCUUCCACAUUCUUUCUUAAAUUUUUGUUUUGUAAAUAACCAUAGUUUUUACUUAUAUGUAUACCUGGCAUUGUGAUAAAUACAUUAAUUCCUGUUGUCCUCAGUAUGUUCUUUGUGAACUUUUCAUCAUGUUCCUCAUGUUAAAAAUUUGGAAAUCAAUUGCUAACCACCUCAUUUUAUCAUUAUAUAGCAGCAAAGCACCCUAGCAUGUUAACUUCAUGACACUUAAUAAUGGAAAACAUGGUCACAAUGAAGAACUAUUAUUAGCCUGUACUCCAGUAAACAUGAAUGAAGCUAUGGAGUUAUGGCAUCAGUAGCUUAUUGAUAGAGUGAUAGAAAAUCUCUACUCGUUGACAGGGACAGAGAACAAGCAGCAAUCCAGGUUUCUAUAAGGAAUGUUAGUGCAGUCAAGUAGGCUUCUCAAGAUUAAAUUUUAACUUGCAAGGAUUUGGAUUUAGCAUUUUGUUACAUAAUGUUUGGAGGAUUCAGCAAUAUAUGACCCAUUGAGCAAUUAUUGUAAAUUUUUAAUGUAAUUAUACUAUAAGAAGAAAACCACUGAACAAAAAGAAAUGUAAUCUGUUUAAUGCAUUAGUAUAUGUACAAAUAUCACCUUCUAGUCUGUCACAGAGCAUUCUCAUGUUCAUUUCAUGCAUACUAUUAAGGUUAACACUUUUUUUUUUGUACUCCAGAAAGAAUCUUUUUUUAAAAAAUUUGUUUAAAUUAUUUGAGAGGAAGAGGAAAUAAAGACUGUGGCUGAAUCACUCCUUAGUGCUCAUUAUGGCUGGAGACUAGUCCAGGCAGAAGCCAAGAUCCAGGAACUCAAUCAAGGUGUCCCUUAGCAGUAGUAGAACUUAAGUAAUUAGGGUCAUUACUGUAGGAAGACAGAGU
Ochotona curzoniae (black-lipped pika) is the source of this 2556-nucleotide long non-coding RNA. RefSeq lists it as uncharacterized. Lineage: Eukaryota; Metazoa; Chordata; Mammalia; Lagomorpha; Ochotonidae. The record is from RefSeq and is a predicted model, not a curated record. The transcript is spliced from 2 exons.